UACGGGGGGAGCAAGCGUUGUUCGGAUUUACUGGGCGUAAAGGGCGCGUAGGCGGCCACCGCAAGUCGACUGUGAAAUCUCCGGGCUUAACCCGGAAAGGUCAGCCGAUACUGCGGGGCUAGAGUGCAGAAGGGGCAACUGGAAUUCUCGGUGUAGCGGUGAAAUGCGUAGAUAUCGAGAGGAACACCUGCGGCGAAGGCGGGUUGCUGGGCUGACACUGACGUUGAUGCGCGAAAGCUAGGGGAGCGAACGGG
RNAcentral lists this ribosomal RNA (254 nucleotides) under uncultured bacterium. RNAcentral describes it as "partial 16S ribosomal RNA". It matches the Rfam family "Bacterial small subunit ribosomal RNA", at positions 524 to 776 of the family's 1533-position model. The record is from RNAcentral.